UUAAUUAAUCUGUGAAAGGGGGCAUGGCUAAAGCAUAGUGGGCAGCCCAAACCAUGACCAAUGACAAAGGAACUCUCUGCUGAGUUCAAUGAAACCUUACACAAUAGUCUACAUGAAACGGGUCUUUAGUUAUAAAAAGAGGUGUGGUUAAAGCACAGGGGCCGGGUCAAACCAAUCACCAAUGAAAAAGGAACUCUCUGCUGACUUCAGUGAUACCUCACACAAGACUCUACCUUAAAUGGUUCAAAAGCCAUAAAAAUUGGCGUGGCCUGAAUAUAUGGGCGUGGUUCAAGUAUAGGGGGCGGCUCAGUAUCACAUGUAGACCACACAUUCUAAGUUUCAUGUAAAUCGGAUGUUGUUUGUCAUAGAAGGCUGAUUUCUUGUUGCCAGCAGGGGGAGCUAUGACCAAAAGUCAACUUUUGCUUAUAGAUGUCCUCAGGCCUGGACCCUUGUCAAUCUUGAGAAAUUUCGGCCAAAUUGUACAACGUACACUCAAGUUAUAACAGCUU
Molecule: long non-coding RNA, 509 nt
Organism: Sander lucioperca (pikeperch)
Lineage: Eukaryota; Metazoa; Chordata; Actinopteri; Perciformes; Percidae
Exons: 3
Source: RefSeq, a predicted model, not a curated record